RNAcentral lists this ribosomal RNA (480 nucleotides) under uncultured bacterium. Its description in RNAcentral is "partial 16S ribosomal RNA". It matches the Rfam family "Bacterial small subunit ribosomal RNA", at positions 28 to 523 of the family's 1533-position model. The record is from RNAcentral.
GACGAACGCUGGCGGCGUGCUUAACACAUGCAAGUCGAACGAUGAAGUUCCUCCGGGAAUGGAUUAGUGGCGAACGGGUGAGAAACACGUGAGAAACCUGCCUUUCAUUUUGGGAUAACUCCGGGAAACCGGAGCUAACACCGAAUACUCCGUCUCGGCGGCAUCGCUGAGCCGGGAAAAAAUUAUGAUGAAAGAUGGUCUCGCGGCCUAUCAGCUAGUUGGUGAGGUAAUGGCUCACCAAGGCGACGACGGGUAGCCGGCCUGAGAGGGCGGCCGGCCACACUGGGACUGAGACACGGCCCAGACUCCUACGGGAGGCAGCAGUGGGGAAUAUUGGGCAAUGGGCGCAAGCCUGACCCAGCGACGCCGCGUGAGGGAUGAAGGCCUUCGGGUUGUAAACCUCUUUCAGUAGGGAAGAAGCGAAAGUGACGGUACCUAAAGAAGAAGCACCGGCUAACUAUGUGCCAGCCGCCGCCGUAA